AUUGAACGCUGGCGGCAGGCCUAACACAUGCAAGUCGAGCGGAAACGACAUUAUUGAAUCUUCGGAGGAUUUAAUGGGCGUCGAGCGGCGGACGGGUGAGUAAUGCUUGGGAAUCUGCCUAGUCGAGGGGGACAACAGUUGGAAACGACUGCUAAUACCGCACACGACCUACGGGUGAAAGGGGGCCUCUUCUUGAAAGCUCUCGCGACUAGAUGAGCCCAAGUGGGAUUAGCUUGUUGGUGAGGUAAGAGCUCACCAAGGCGACGAUCCCUAGCUGGUCUGAGAGGAUGAUCAGCCACACUGGAACUGAGACACGGUCCAG
This 322-nucleotide ribosomal RNA is filed under the name uncultured bacterium. RNAcentral describes it as "bacterial SSU rRNA". It matches the Rfam family "Bacterial small subunit ribosomal RNA", at positions 30 to 334 of the family's 1533-position model. The record is from RNAcentral.